Long non-coding RNA from Pygocentrus nattereri (red-bellied piranha), 1212 nucleotides. The record is from Ensembl. Lineage: Eukaryota; Metazoa; Chordata; Actinopteri; Characiformes; Serrasalmidae.
AGAUUAUUCACUUCAGGGAUUUUAUUUUGAAAUCAGCAAGGGCUUUUAAUUGUUGGAGCAAACUAGAAACGGUGGUGGGGAGUUAUUCUGGCUGGUUCUGAACGCUGGAGAUCGGUGGGCUCUCUCCAACUCGGGCGGUGUUGGGAAUACAUCUGGGCCCAUCAUUUGCAUUAGCAGCUCUGCCAUGAACUUGAGCGGGUCUUUGCUGUUUUCCCUGCCUUCGGGGAUGUUCAAUAUGCGGGGAUUGGAUCUUCGUGAGCGGUUCUCGAGGUCCUCGAGUUGAUCCAGAAGACUUUGGUUCUGAAUACGCAGUGAUUCCACAGUGGAUUCGGCUGCCGUUAGCCGCUCGAUGUUCUCCUGGCCACGGACUCAACCGAAGUAAGGGGUCUGAAAAGAGUUGACUGCGGCUUGUAGUGAUUCAGUUGAGACUUGUAGUGGUUUAACUGCUUCUUGGAUCAGGAGAGAGAGAGAGAUCCUCCUUGAGUGAGAACCUCUGCUUUGUAAAUUCAGUGGACAGUUGAUCCGCUGUAACGAGCGGAGCAGGUGCGGGUUCUUCCAGCAUGGCAGCAGUCCAUGAACUCGCUGCGGACGUGUUAGCAAAUGAGGCUAACUUUCCUGCAGCACUGGCAGUGACACGCGUAGCCAGAGCCAUUUUCUCCAGUGCUAUGAGCCAGUAUUUUCUGAACUGCUGAUUGGCUGAGGGCAGUGCACUGAAUUUGAUAGGAGUUAGGAAUCUAUCCUGUAACUGGUGCCCAGUGACUCAGAGAUCACGACCACAGCUCCAGGCUGCUGUAAACUGGCUUUUGUUUUUUUAAACCCUCCAGUUUCACCGACAUGUACUGAAAACUUCAAUAUAUAGCAGAAAAUUAAUAUGGAGGAGGAGAAACACCAACAUAUGCACGACUAGAAUGGAAACACUCUGCUUAAGAUUACUGAACAGCUUACCAGCACGUUAUAAUCUGUACUCACACACUGGAGGAGAGCGGAGAUCACUGCCUUUAACAGCACAGCUGUAGCUGACCGCUUCACUGACCACAGCUACAGGGCAGGAGGCAGAUUCACACUCAGAUACAGGCUGUCCGUUCCUGUACCAGAUGUAGGUGGGGUUGUUGGGCAGAGUGCAGGUGGAGCUACAGGUCAGUGUUACUGUCUGUCCCUCUGACGCUGUGACUGCAGGACCUUCCACUUUCACCUGCAGGACUUUAUCAAAAA